UGAGUCUGGAGUGUGUGGUUGGGGUUUUUUUAAGUCUGAAAUACUAACUUUUUGGCACUAUAAUUUAAAUAGCUAGAUGAGUGACCAGCUCAGGAACCUCCAAGUGCUGUGUCCUAGCAGCAGAAUCUUCAGCUGCCAAGGGUGCAUAUCUCGAAGUACCAAGGCCUGUGAUGAACACCACACAGAAUUAAUGAAACGCUGUCCAGCCUUGCUUACUGGAGGAGAGGUGGCAGGCAAUGCACAGCUAUGAUGCCCCAAUUAAGGCCUAACAAUGCUAAAUCGAGUGGAAUAACUACUUCAUUUAAGACCCUUCAUAAAACAACCCAGGACAUGAAAAGUGAAAGCAAGUAAGAGAUAAGUAUCACAAUCAGUUGUACCCAGCAAAGAGGCAGGAUGUAUAGCCGAUGCGUGAGAAAUCCAGGCAAACCAGGAAUGUACAAGCUGCACACAUACCAUGUGAAGGCUAUGACAGAUAGUCACAUUAAGAGAACUACCUCAACCACAGACAAACUGAGGCAACUGAGCCUGCAAACACAAGUUGUAUAUUUAAAAAACAGAUGGGACCCACAAGUACUGACAGGUCAAAAACAGGAUUGAUUUCGCUUCAUGUUGGAUUAAGGGAAAAUACCUAAUUUGCAUAAAAUGACCCUGCACUGACAAGACCUGAUUGUUUAGAGCAUAGCACAAUAGAUGGAUUAUCUGACUCC
This is a long non-coding RNA of Mauremys reevesii (Reeves's turtle), 707 nucleotides long. RefSeq lists it as uncharacterized. The record is from RefSeq and is a predicted model, not a curated record. NCBI's taxonomy places the organism in Eukaryota, Metazoa, Chordata, Testudines, Geoemydidae. The transcript is spliced from 3 exons.